GCUCUAUGCCAAGCUCCACCCCAGAUGUACAGUGGGAGCAACAGGGAGGAGCUUCAGGGCAGCAGGGGAGAUAAGAAGCAAGUGAUCAGGCGAUCAGAUGGACUGUUCCCUGAGCUUUGCUCUUGCGUGGUCAGCUCCUUCUCAUCCUUCAGGUGUCGGCUGUCAUCUUCUCUGCCAGGCCUUCCUUCACCAUGGAAACUAGGCUGCACCUACUCACGCUGUGUCCCAUUACUUUGUGUUAUCAUCUUCAUAAAACUUAGCAGC
This is a long non-coding RNA of Bos taurus (domestic cattle), 264 nucleotides long. NCBI's taxonomy places the organism in Eukaryota, Metazoa, Chordata, Mammalia, Artiodactyla, Bovidae. The record is from Ensembl.